This is a long non-coding RNA of Quercus lobata, 1801 nucleotides long. RefSeq lists it as uncharacterized. The transcript has 2 exons. Lineage: Eukaryota; Viridiplantae; Streptophyta; Magnoliopsida; Fagales; Fagaceae. The record is from RefSeq and is a predicted model, not a curated record.
GCGCUUAUUAACAAAAAAAAAAAACAUAAAAACCCAAAACAGACAUACGCUGCAGAAAGAAAAGGAGAACCGAGAAAGAGAACGAUAGAGAAAGAACUUCAAUCUGUCAUCGAUGGUGGAGAGAGAAAAAUCUGAGAAGAAAGUCAUGCUUAGCCACCAUCAGACCACCGUACCCUCCACCGGUAUGGUCUCUAUUUUUUUUGUACCGAAGGUCAGCGUACUUCCUUCCUCUUCAAAUACUGUUUUUGUAGUUUGAAAGAUUGAAACUCCUCACCAUGGCUUUUCCUAUUCGAAUUAGAAUCUUAAAUCUUUAAUAUUUCUAUGUUUUUUAAUUCAAAACCAGCAGUUCCCCUUAAUUUUCUAGGGUUCUUGAGAUACAGAGAGUUUGAGGGUUUGUAAGGCGCAGAGAGGGAUUGAGAGACAUCUCAGGGUGCCGCCGCCGGUGCCGCCGUUCAUCUGCAGCCACCGAAAAACUGGCUUUCCCUAACCGUCAUACCUCUGGAGCCAUUAUGGGUAAGGUUAUUUUAAAAAAUAAAAUACUGAAAAUAAAAUGGAAUGACAAAUUCUACUCAAAGAGAGAUUAUACCGCCCUAACGCCCCUAUCAGACGACCAAAACCACUAUACAUAAACUCCACAAGGUGCGAAUAGAGAGAUCAGAGGGUCACUAUUGGUAAAGUUUUCUCUUUCUUCGUUAGGUUUUGGCUUUGAGUAUUUUGGCCAGAUUGGUUUUAAUUCAGGUUUGAUUUUAGAUUUUGGUUUAUAUGUUAAGGUAUUUGGGUUAGAAUUGGUUUGGUUUUGCAUAUUUUUGUUAGAUACGUUGAUUUGAGUAUUUGGGUAAUCGAGGUUAGAAAGGAAUUAAAAUAAAUGUAUAGUGCAAAUACAACCAUCACUAUUAAAUUUCUUUGCAUUGUUUAAACAGAUCAUAUUUUUGAAAGUUAUUCCAUUUUUUUUUUCCAUUUAUAUAACAAAUUCAUUUCAAUAGAAACAGGAAAUUAGAUGUUGAUUUUUUUUUCCCCUUUUUUUCCUAUUCAAUUACGUUUCUAGGGUUCUUCUUCCCCCCCCCCCCCCCCUCCCCCCCUUUUUUUCCUAUUCACGCAGGGUAAGAUAGAGAGAGGCUGGAACCACUACUGGUGAGAUUUUAUCUUCGCUUUAAGUUUGUUUAUUAAUUAUGAGUAGGUUUUGAUAUUUUGUUUGGAUUGGUUUGGAUUUGUUUGGGUCCUUAUGUUAUAUUUGGUUCUCAUUAUGGUAUUUGAGUUAUAAGUGGUUCUGUUUUGAUUGUUUGGGUUAAACUGUGCUGUAGUACAUCCACCCUUUGCCCCAAUCAAACCGUACCUCCAUUGAUGUAGUCUCUAUUUUUUGUUUCUUUAACGUUUGCUAUUCGAAGAGAGUGUUGGUAAGGGCAUGUGAAAAAAGUUGGAAAGAGAGCAAUCUGACAUCUUGGGUCAGGCCGCCUAAAACCUUUAUAGGUACUAGAAAUAGCGUUAAUUGUGUUGAUGGCUCUAUAGUUAAAGACAUCGAAUGCUCUAAUUUAGCUGGUGUUACUCUUGAAAGGUCUUUUGAUGGUUCACAAGAUAAUGAAUCUUCUAAGUGCUUCAAAUGCUCUUUAUAGAAGGCAAUUCUUUCAUUCCUUUGGCUUAGAGUGUCUAUAAAGAUGUGCAUUGUUGUGGUUUCUAGCAACUCCAGUAUGUAAAGGAUCUUAAAACUUUCAGUAGUAUCAAGUUUUCAACAUAGUGGUUCACCAAGUAAUAUUGCUACAAUAAUUUGAUGCUUUUUAGCUAUUAAUUUUUAAAUUCUAAAGGA